GACGAACGCUGGCGGCGUGCCUAAUACAUGCAAGUAGAACGCUGAAGCUUGGUGCUUGCACCGAGCGGAUGAGUUGCGAACGGGUGAGUAACGCGUAGGUAACCUGCCUGGUAGCGGGGGAUAACUAUUGGAAACGAUAGCUAAUACCGCAUAAGAGUAGAUGUUGCAUGACAUUUGCUUAAAAGGUGCAAUUGCAUCACUACCAGAUGGACCUGCGUUGUAUUAGCUAGUUGGUGAGGUAACGGCUCACCAAGGCAACGAUACAUAGCCGACCUGAGAGGGUGAUCGGCCACACUGGGACUGAGACACGGCCCAGACUCCUACGGGAGGCAGCAGUAGGGAAUCUUCGGCAAUGGACGGAAGUCUGACCGAGCAACGCCGCGUGAGUGAAGAAGGUUGUCGGAUCGGAAAGCUCUGUUGUAAGAGAAGAACGAGUGUGAGAGUGGAAAGUUCACACUGUGACGGUAUCUUACCAGAAAGGGACGGCUAACUACGUG
Molecule: ribosomal RNA, 497 nt
Filed under: uncultured bacterium
Lineage: Bacteria
Description: partial 16S ribosomal RNA
Rfam family: Bacterial small subunit ribosomal RNA
Source: RNAcentral